AUUGAACGCUGGCGGCAGGCCUAACACAUGCAAGUCGAACGGUAACAGGAAACAGCUUGCUGUUUCGCUGACGAGUGGCGGACGGGUGAGUAAUGUCUGGGAAACUGCCUGAUGGAGGGGGAUAACUACUGGAAACGGUAGCUAAUACCGCAUAACGUCGCAAGACCAAAGAGGGGGACCUUCGGGCCUCUUGCCAUCGGAUGUGCCCAGAUGGGAUUAGCUAGUAGGUGGGGUAACGGCUCACCUAGGCGACGAUCCCUAGCUGGUCUGAGAGGAUGACCAGCCACACUGGAACUGAGACACGGUCCAGACUCCUACGGGAGGCAGCAGUGGGGAAUAUUGCACAAUGGGCGCAAGCCUGAUGCAGCCAUGCCGCGUGUAUGAAGAAGGCCUUCGGGUUGUAAAGUACUUUCAGCGGGGAUGAGGGGAGUAAAGUUAAUACCUUUGCUCAUUGACGUUACCCGCAGAAGAAGCACCGGCUAACUCCGUG
This 490-nucleotide ribosomal RNA is filed under the name uncultured bacterium. RNAcentral describes it as "partial 16S ribosomal RNA". It matches the Rfam family "Bacterial small subunit ribosomal RNA", at positions 30 to 507 of the family's 1533-position model. The record is from RNAcentral.